AGAGUUUGAUCAUGGCUCAGGAUGAACGCUAGCUACAGGCUUAACACAUGCAAGUCGAGGGGCAGCAUGUUGGUUGCUUGCAACCAAUGAUGGCGACCGGCGCACGGGUGAGUAACGCGUAUCCAACCUACCCUUGUCCAUCGGAUAACCCGUCGAAAGGCGGCCUAACACGAUAUGCGGUUCACAGCAGGCAUCUAAGGUGAACGAAAUGUGAAGGAGAAGGAUGGGGAUGCGUCUGAUUAGCUUGUUGGCGGGGUAACGCCACCAAGGCUACGAUCAGUAGGGGUUCUGAGAGGAAGGUCCCCCANAUUGGAACUGAGACACGGUCCAAACGUCCUACGGGAGGCCA
This 349-nucleotide ribosomal RNA is filed under the name uncultured bacterium. RNAcentral describes it as "bacterial SSU rRNA". It matches the Rfam family "Bacterial small subunit ribosomal RNA", at positions 8 to 350 of the family's 1533-position model. The record is from RNAcentral.